This 429-nucleotide ribosomal RNA is filed under the name Chloroflexota bacterium. Its description in RNAcentral is "Chloroflexi bacterium partial 16S ribosomal RNA". It matches the Rfam family "Bacterial small subunit ribosomal RNA", at positions 355 to 776 of the family's 1533-position model. Lineage: Bacteria; Bacillati; Chloroflexota. The record is from RNAcentral.
UGGGGAAUAUUGCACAAUGGGCGCAAGCCUGAUGCAGCCAUGCCGCGUGUAUGAAGAAGGCAUUCGGGUUGUAAAGUACUUUCAGUCGGGAGGAAGGUGGUAAGGUUAAUAACCUUAUCAAUUGACGUUACCGACAGAAGAAGCACCGGCUAACUCCGUGCCAGCAGCCGCGGUAAUACGGAGGGUGCAAGCGUUAAUCGGAAUUACUGGGCGUAAAGCGCACGCAGGCGGUUGAUUGAGUCAGAUGUGAAAUCCCCGGGCUUAACCCGGGAAUUGCAUCUGAUACUGGUCAGCUAGAGUCUUGUAGAGGGGGGUAGAAUUCCAGGUGUAGCGGUGAAAUGCGUAGAGAUGUGGAGGAAUACCGGUGGCGAAGGCGGCCCCCUGGACAAAGACUGACGCUCAGGUGCGAAAGCGUGGGGAGCAAACAGG